GCCAGACUCCUACGGGAGGCAGCAGUGGGGGAUAUUGCACAAUGGGGGGAACCCUGAUGCAGCGACGCCGCGUAGGUGAAGGAGCGUUUCGGCGCGUAAAGCCCUCUCGGCAGGGAAGAAGGAGGACGGUACCUGACUAAGAAGCCCCGGCUAACUACGUGCCAGCAGCCGCGGUAAUACGUAGGGGGCAAGCGUUAUCCGGAUUUACUGGGUGUAAAGGGGGCGCAGACGGCAGCGCAAGCCAGGAGUGAAAGCCCGGGGCCCAACCCCGGGACUGCUCUUGGAACUGCGCGGCUGGAGUGCAGGAGGGGCAGGCGGAAUUCCUGGUGUAGCGGUGAAAUGCGUAGAUAUCAGGAGGAACACCGGUGGCGAAGGCGGCCUGCUGGACUGCGACUGACGUUGAGGCCCGAAAGCGUGGGGAGCAAACAGGAUUAGAUACCCUGGUAUAU
RNAcentral lists this ribosomal RNA (449 nucleotides) under uncultured bacterium. RNAcentral describes it as "partial 16S ribosomal RNA". It matches the Rfam family "Bacterial small subunit ribosomal RNA", at positions 330 to 794 of the family's 1533-position model. The record is from RNAcentral.